GCGCGAGUGGCGGAAUUGGCAGACGCGCAGGAUUUAGGUUCCUGUGCCUUCGGGUGUACGGGUUCAAGUCCCGUCUCGCGCA
This 82-nucleotide transfer RNA is filed under the name Bifidobacteriaceae bacterium. RNAcentral's name for it is "tRNA-Leu". It matches the Rfam family "tRNA". Rfam says of the family: Transfer RNA (tRNA) molecules are approximately 80 nucleotides in length. Lineage: Bacteria; Bacillati; Actinomycetota; Actinomycetes; Bifidobacteriales; Bifidobacteriaceae. The record is from RNAcentral.